Oryctolagus cuniculus (rabbit) is the source of this 12379-nucleotide non-coding RNA. The record is from RefSeq and is a predicted model, not a curated record. NCBI's taxonomy places the organism in Eukaryota, Metazoa, Chordata, Mammalia, Lagomorpha, Leporidae.
UUCUGUUACCAAAAUUCUAAGAUCCGAAUUUCCAGACCUUAAAUUCUGUACUGUCAUUCUAACAUGAUUCCAUAAAUCAAAGGAUGUGAUUCUCUACGAUUGUAUUUCUAUGGCUUGAAACUUUCGAUCAAAGUCCCUAUAGGGGGAUACUUUUUAAAAGUUUGUGGAAAAUAGAAUUAAAAGAUAAGUUAAUUUUUGUGCAAAAAAUAUUGAAAUCUAUGCAUAGUUUUUUUCCUCCAUGAUACAUGUUUUCCAUGAACUUUUGGAAGACCCCUGUAUAGUAAAAUGCUGGGACUAAGGUGCUGCCUUUGAAAACACAUAUGAUGCCACUACUGCAGCCUGCUGCUUCUCCAGUUUUAGAUAUUUUUUAAGGUCUAAAGUUUAUGUUAUUUAAAUGAAUUCCUGUUCAGGAACAUCUGGAAGAUUUGGAGCCUAUAAAUCCACAACUCUUCACUUCCUUAAUGCCAAAGUGUUAGUGCUAAGAUCCAUUAUUUAUUGCGGUAAUAUUUAUGACUGUAUGCUUUGAUAAUCGGUCCUGGGACCUCAUGGUUCUCUAUGGUUAACUUCCAGUGCCUCUAGGUAAAAGCCGCACAUCUCAGGAUUUCCUGCCCCCCACCCUGGUCUUGUGACCCCCAUUCUCCUGGAAUUCGGAUUCCUCCUUGUCCGAGUGUUGCUAUACCUGUGCUCCAGAUUUAGCAUCCAAGAUUGGGAUUCUAAGAUUUUCAUGGACAAAAGACCCCUAAGAAUCUAGUCCCUAGGAGUUUGUUCAGAUCAAACCAUGCAUUUCAAAAGAACCUGUACCUUGGAGAUUCCAUGACUACACCAGGGAACAGUUGGAUUCCCUGAUUUGCUGAGUCCAGAGAUCAUGAGUUAACCCGUUUAGAUCAAAACCAGACUUAAAAAUCUCCUGCGUUCUAGGGUGUUUCCUGCUUUCCCUUUGCUUCCUUGUGUGUUUCCUGAAUAGGGGGCAGGGUGGUCCUGGUCCCCGGCCCCCUUCUCUGCCACAGUGCUUCUUAUCGUUUGUGGGGUCACAGACUCCACUGAAAAUCAUCUGGUGGAAUCCGCCCCUUGAAAGUCACUCUCCCAGUGCAGCAGGGGCGGGUUGACGCUGCUGCGAGUGCAGCAGGUGCUUCCAGUCUGGUUCCCUUGAGUCUUCAGCCCUGCACGCACGCCUUGGGGAAACCUGCCCCAUGGUAGUUUUAGGCGCAUUUGUGGAGUGGGGUGGUGGAGCAUGUUCCUGGGGAUCUGUAGAAUAUACUGGAAGCUCUUCUGUAACAGCUACUUUCUUCACUUUUAAAGAUUAUCCUCCCCCCCCCCCGCCCUGCCGCUGCCCCUGGAAUCCAAGGAGUUAGGGAAAAUUCCUUUACAUCCCACAUCCAGAUGCAAUGCAGAGGUAACCACUUUUCUGCUUAAGGAACUCUUGGAAAUGAGAGCCGGGAGGAGACUGGCCUGUGGAAGGGACUUACUUGGAAUCUUGGAGAGGGAGGCAUCGGGCUAAGCCGGGAAACAGGAUUUGAACCCUUUGGAUUUGAAGCCUGCCUGCCUUUGCUCAAGUUCUCAGAGCCUCCCUGGUUCUUAAUUCUCUAGCCUGGACCACUCCCCUUAGCCAGCAACCGUGGAAACCUCAGGCCUUGCACUUGCAGAUCUGAUUCCAUAAUCUCCAACGUCUGUCCCCGUUACUCUGGGUCAGUGGGUGGUUUCCAGAGAACGCCAGAGUGAGACAGUGCCCCAAUGGGAGCCCUGUGUCGUCCACCCCUCAGCCCUGCCCUGAACCGCAGAACCUGGCACAGCUGCACCUGCCCCGGUUCUCAGUGCUGGGGCUGUAGAGGGCUCAUAAUGGGCCCGGGGCUGGGAGCUAUCCUCUGCCCUUCGGAGGCCUCAGUUUUCCCUUCUGUGAAGUGGGAGAUCCUUAUCUGUUCUUUAGAGGAUGGAGUGAGGCACAUUGCCAACCUGCCAUUGUUUUCUUCAUCCUUUAAGGGUGGAAUACGGGAAAUUGACAAGCCGCCUCAGGAAAUUCGAACCUGCCCCACUUGCCGCUGCAAUGAGAUGCCCCUGGGAAGAAGCAGUGGUUGGUUAAAGCAAAGUGUUUCCCGCAGGGGGCCUGGCCAGGGACUUGGAGCCUCAGCUUCCCCCUCCCCUGCCCAGCGGGUGUGGACUCUCCCAGUGCUACCCUGAACUUCAAGCGUCUUCUCUCCAUUGGUGCACUUUGACACUGCAAACAGGAUUACCAUCCCGCAACGGGGGCGGGGCCGGAGCGGGGAGUCUCUGGCUUCCCACUCUGGCUUCGCUGGGACCAGGCGACUGGCCUCCCGCUUGACCAAAAGGAAGCACCUCGGCUCAGGAACAUGCAUAGGUGCUCUCUGUUUCCGGACACAUCUCUGCAGUCACUCCUUCCCAACUGGAGCCUGCUGGGUGUGGAAGAAGGUGUGACUGCGGCUGGAGUCCCUUCAUGGGAUGUCACCCUGGGCAGAUGGUGUGUGUGUGUCUCCCUGCCUUCCCUGAGCCCUGGCCAGAUUUCCCACUACACAUACUACUGGUUUGUGCAGCGGCCUUUGAUCGCGUGGGCAUUGGCUGGCCUGAGAUGAUUGACAUCGGCUUUACCCAAUGAGUGAGCAAGACCGUCGAGGCGCAGACAUGUCACCUCAGUGCUGCUGUUCCUCAUGAAGGCUGUGCACAGUGUCAGUCAUCCUGUCACCAACGACAGCGUCACAGAAGCAGAGUGCGAACCGGCGCUGGUGACCGUGGGAGGCAGCAGAGAAGUCCCCCCCCACACACAACCGUCACCAAGCAUCGUUCUUUGGUGCAUGCCGAUUGAUAUUUGCGUUUAUGCUCACAAAGAAGGCAAAAAUGGGGGAAAAAUAAAGGAAGACGUAUGGUGGAACUUGUUCAUGAAUGACUUGGGCAACUUUUUGGCUGAUCAGAUAAUUGGUUCAAACGUUAGAAUUUCCUUGUUUUAAAAAUGCUUUAUUCAGGGCUGGCGCUUGUAGGCUAAGCCUCUGCCUGUGACGCCGGCAUCCCAUAUGAGCGCCAGUUCGAGUCCCAGCUGCUCCUCUUCCGAUCCAGUUCUCUGCUAUGGCCUGAGAAAGCAGCAGAAGAUGGGCCAACUACUUGGGCUCCUGUACUUGCACGGGAAGACCCGGGAGAAACUCCUGGCUCCUGGCUUCGGAUUGGUGCAGCUCUGGCUGUUGUGGCCAUUUGGAGAAUGAACCAGUGGUUGGAAGACCUUUCUCUCUGUUUUUCCCUCUCUCUGUCUAUAACUCUACCUCUCAAACAAAUGGAUAAAAAUCUUUUUUUUUUUUUCAAAAAUGCUAUUGUUCAUAGGCCAAACGGCUGUCCUAGCCAUCAAGAAGCUGGGGCAGAGCAGAGGAGCCGGUGGUCAUCCCCCGAGUAAAUACGGGAGACACCCGGCUGGGGUGGACAGGGCGGGCUCAACACAUGGCUGUAGAUGUAACAGACUUUAAUCUGCAUUAUUAGUGUUAUCUCCACCUCUUUCUCCAGUCCAGCCUCCAGACUAGAAAAUCAAUGAAACACCUGCUCUGUAUAGCGCAUGCCCACUUCCGUGGUCUAAGUCCUCCUACUGCAGUCAGUUUCCAGCUAGCAACGCGAUGUCACUCAACGCAGUGGGGAAGGACGCUGGACAGCACGUACAGUAUUUGCACCACACUCACACAGUAGCCUCGCGGACACAAGUCCCGGAGAAGAGGUGAAGUUAAUCCGACAGUGCACUGCCAUGUGAGAUUCCUGGAAACUUAGGAGUGAGCUCUCCAAAGCUGGUAUGAUGGCCUGGCUCCAGCCUGCCACAUGGCCUCACCCUGCUCUGAGACCCUGAUGCUGCUUCCUCCGUGAUGACCUCCCUGAUCAUUGCAGGUAGAGACCAUCUCUUCCUCCUGUGUACCCCAAAAAGGUGAGCCCUGGGUCCCAUCUGCCUGUGUCCCCUGGGGCCUGGCACUACACGGGCUGCUUUGCUUGGUGGGCCUGUGUGUAAGCCAUGGGUGGAACCAGUCCUCCCCACCCCAGCUCCAAGGCUUUCCCAGAUUGCCCUGGCGCAUGACCACCACCUCCAUUCUGCCCCCUGCUGGCCACGUGGAAGCCAUUGGACAACUGUUUGGCCUCAGUUUCCCCAUCUGUCAAGUGCUAAGGGAAGAGGGGUGGAAAGAAGGAAUGCAGAGAUACUCUUUCUAGUCCCUUUUCUUGGGCCUGCGGUUGUGGGCCGUCGUGCUCUGUCUGUCCUUGCUGUUUAGUGUCCUGCGGCUUCUCGUGGAACGUGGAAGCAGUUUUCCGUGUUCCCAUGUGGUUUUCACGUCCUCCACUGUGAGAGGGUGCAGGGGAUGUUGUAUUUCAUGGGCCCCAAACUCACUUUACCUUUCCUUAAUUUUGAGACAUCUGUUUGGUUUCCUCCCAUCGCCACCGGCUUGGCGUGUUCUCAUUUCAGACAAGACCUGCUCAGUGAAGACACCGUAGAUUUUACCACUGAUCUGUGUGCUUUCCUCUCCAUUUCCACCAAACACCGGUUGUGUUUGUGCCAGCUGAGAGCACAGAUCUGAAAACCACGCAUUCUUAGUGACUUGCGCCAUCCCCAGCACCAGGCCUCCUGGAAUGUGCAGGCUUUCAGCCCAGACUUUGUGAGCGGACACGACUGCCAUUUGUGCUCUCGGGGUGUCUCGCCCAUCAGUCACCCUGUCAAGCACUGCCUUUGGUGGGGGGGAGCAGUGGGCUGGUUUUGGGAGUCUCUGCUCCUCCCCCAGGAAACCAGACACAAUGACUGAGCUGGCUGGAAUCGCCUGCAAGAAAGCCCACGCACCAAGUGUCAGAGCCCCGAUUCCAGUUAGCACGCAGCUGCCAAGGUCCUACAGGUGUACUGACUUUUUUUUUUUUUAAGAUUUUUAUUUAUUUAUUUAUUUGCAAGGCAGAGUUAUAUAGAAAGAAGGAGAGACAGAGAGAUCUUCCACCGACAGGUUCACUCCUCAAAUGGCUGCAACGGCCAGGGCUGGACCAGGCCUGGAGUGUCAUCUGGGUCUCCCGUGUGGGUGCAGGGACCCAAGCCCUUGGACCACCCUCCACUGCCUUCCCAGGAGCAUUGCCAGGGAGCUGGGUCAGAAGUGGAGCAGCCAGACUCAAACCGGCACCCGUGUGAGAUGCCACCCUCUGCGCCACAGUGCCGGCCCCCGUGCCGCUGUGGGUUUAUAUCCUGACUCUGCUGGGGUCUGGGGGCUGGGGUCUAGGGUCUGGGGUUAGGAUGAGGAUUCAUGAUCCUUAGAGCAGUGAACGUAUUUGGUUGUAGAGAAGUCAUAAGGUUGAACAAACACAGAUGCUGAUACUUCACCUGUGUGCUGAGCUCCAACCCUGCAGUUGGGUCCCUGAGCCCCAGCGUGGCAGUGUGGGGUGUGAGGACAGUGUGAGGGCACUCAGACCCGAGGAGCUUGUGUGCACGGCCAGUCAGGCAGGGCCGCCACUCCCGAGCCCGGUGUGAGGUCUGUGUGACUGGAACCCCGCCGUGCCUGCUCCGUCGCAUGUCUGCUCAUGUUUCCCGUGCAGGAUGUGGGGAAACUGCCUUUAAGUACAAUAAAGGAGCGACGGGCGAUGAGCUCACAAAGCGUUUUGUUUGGGACGGUACCUGUUUGUCUGCGUGACUCUCCCCACAUCACUAAUACUGUCUCUGCAGCCAGGAGCCAGGCCACCCUGUGUGGCAGACACAGGCAUCUCUCUGGAGUUCAGAAGGUCACGACCCAGUCUCCUCAGUUCCUUGUGUUGGACGUGUUCAGGACGAUGGGCCUGCCCACGGGCAAGGGGUCGCUCGUGCCAUCCCCAGGAUCCCUGCGGGUGGCCCUCCAUCCGCGAGGUGUUAGCCUCAGUGAGACAACACAUCAGCACUGGAAUCCUGACUCUGCUGCUGUGUGACCCUGGGUGGGGGGAGGAGUCAUGCAACCCUCUCUGGGCCCAGAAUCCACACACCUAGUGGUGUGGCCUCACACAGGCCCGCCUGUGUGCAACACUGGUUCUUGUUGUAUUCCUUUUGUCCUUAAAGGAAUUGGCCCCUUCUCUGGGCGGAUUUGGUCAUUGCUCUACCCACAUCUACCUACAGCCGAUGUCGGUGCCGCUUUGUGGGAGCACAGAGCUCCAGGCAGCUGGCAGCUGCCUGCCUGCACACAGGAGAACUGAAGGAAGCCAAGCCCCCUCUUUCCAGUCGCUGACGGUGCCCGGAUGUAAGGGAGCUGAGCUCCCUUGUCCCUGGCUAGGAUGACCACCACUGGGAAGACGCAUAACACCUGUGUACAGGCAAGGGGUUGGUUAAACCUACUACUACAUUAGCGGCACCCUUCUUCUUCUUCUUUUAAGGUUUAUUUAUUUAUUUAUUUAAAAGAGUUGGCCGGCGCCGCGGCUCACUUGGCUAAUCCUCCGCCUGCGGCACUGGCACACAGGGUUCUAGUUCUGGUUGGGGCGCUGGAUUCUGUCCCGGUCGCUCCUCUUCCAGUCCAGCUCUCUGCUGUGGCCUGGGAAGGCAGUGGAGGAUGGCCCAAGUGCUUGGGCCCUGCACCCGCAUGGGAGACCAGGAGGAAGCACCUGGCUCCUGGCUUCGGAUCGGCGCAGCGCACCGGCUGCAACACACCGGCUGCAACACACCGGCCGUAGCGGCCACUUGUGGGGUGAACCAAUGGAAAAAGGAAGACCUUUCUCUCUGUCUCUCUGUCUCUCACUGUCUAACUCUGCCUGUCAAAAAAAAGAGAAAGAGUUACACAGAGAGAGAAGGAAAGAGAGAGAGAGCGAGAGAGGUCUUCCAUCUGCUGUGGUUCACUCCCCAAUUGGCUGCAGUGGCCAGAGCUGUGCUGAUCCAAAGCCAGGAGCUUCUUCUAGAUUUCCUACACAGGUACAGGGGCCCAAGGACCUGGGCCACCUUAUACUGCUUUCCCAGGCCAUAACAGAGAGCUGGAUCAGAAGUGGAACGGCUGAGUCUCAAACUGGUGUCCAUGUGGGAUGCCAGCACUGCAGGCGGCAGCUUUACCUGCUAUGCCACAGCACCGGCCCCAGUGUCACCCUUCUUGAAGGUAGUUCCUGUGGUGCAGUUUUGCAAGAAAAAGUCCUCAUUUUCAGGAAAGUCACUGACAUGUUUAGGGGUUAAGGGGUGUGAUGUAUGCAGCUUGUUCUCAAAUGGUUUACAAAAAAUGAUAUAGCUUAGAGAAAAUGGCGAAAAAAGAAAGAGAGAGAGAGAGAGACGACAAUGGUAACAGUUGGUGGAUUUGGUUAAAGGGUAUAAGUGAAUCCUUUAUCCUAAUUCUUGUAACUUUCCUGUAAACCUGAGGUUGUCUCCAAGUAACAAAUUCAGUUUGGGGGCAGGUGUUUAGCUGAGCGAUUGAGACGCCUGCCUCCAUCAGGGUGCCUAAGUGUGACACCGACUCCGGCUCCUGACCCCAGCGUGCGACGCGUGCAGCCCCUGGAGGCAGUGCAGAUAGCUCAGCUGGGUUCCUGCCGCCUGUGUGGGAGACCAGGGGCGAGUACUGGGCUCCUGGCUUCAGCCCAGCCGGGCUGUUGUGGGCAAUUGAGGAAUGAACCAGUAAACAGAACUCUCACUCUUAGAUAAAUAAAUGAUUCAAUAUUUUUAAGUUAACUUCUGUGUAUUAGUUUGAUAUACACAAAGAAUGCAUGUAUAAAAUUGAAGUCCAGGUGAUGGUAUUCCACUCUGGUGUAGACUUGGGUAACUGGCUUCCCGGAUGCUGCAGGGGCUGUUUCCGUGGCAGGCGUGGGUCUCUGAGGUGGGAGACGAUGCCGCUCUUACCACUACCCUCUUGGGAAGCGCCUGCGCAGCCUUGGUCUGUGUGUGGCCUUGUCGAGGCCAAGGGGAUGCUGUUGGAAGUGUGGGACCUCAGAGACACGUUGUGGUUUUCUACUGAGUGAGCAGGUGUAUUGCCAAACCUAUUUCCCCACAAUCACCUGGGAAAGCCAACAGCCGAGUCUGCAGAUGGAGGGGUGGGGAGCAGCUUCAGAGAGGGAGACACCGGCAGGUGGACCUGGUCCCGCUGCACAGGCCAGAGAGGAGACAGGACAGAGGGGAGGGCGCCGAUCGUCCCAGCGCCCUGGGACCACGUGGCAGUCACGGCAGCCCUCAGCUGGGCCCUGCCUCGAGGGCCAGGCUUUCCCAUGCCACCUCCUGCAAGCGUGUUUCUCACUACCGCUGCCCUCACUGUAGAGACGAGAAACAGAGCCUCAGAGAGCGGAGAGGCCCUUCCUGAAGACGCGUUACCUCCUAAGGGCUGGAUUAAAGCCAGACCAGGAGUUUUAGCCCCAAACACCUUUCUGCUGGGCUGGACCUGCUGACCCAUGGAGAGCCUGGGAGAGCCAUGGCUAAGAGUGCCCCUGGGGGAGGGAGGACAGCUCUGCCUGGUGCCUCCUCACUAAACCCCCUCCGCCGCCAUCUGGAACUCCAGUGGCCGCCUCUGGGCAGAUCUCCUCGCCGCCCCUCCCGGCCCCAAGUUGCGCUCCACACAGCCGUCAGCAGCCUUUCCCAACACUGCUCUUGUAUUGCGCCACUCCUCCGCUCUGAUGUGGCCCACCACCGAGGAGGUCACUGCCUCCAUGAUGUCACUCCCUUCCGAUGAGGUCACUCCCUCUAGUGUCGUCACACUUCUCAGAGGAUGCCCUCCCCUGAUGAUGUCACUUCCUCUGGUGAUGUCAUUCCCUCUGAGGAUGCCACCCUCCCUGAAGAUGUCACUCCUUGCUUAAAUACCUUGAAAGACCCUCAGCAUGCAGAAUGAACACUGCACGGUGGACCCCUGGGCGCAGAACUCCCAGGGUCGCUGCUGGGUCCAGGAGCCCCUUUCUGGCUUCUUCCUCUACCUACUGCUGCCAACGAUAACACCUCUUCUGUUUCCUCAGACUGAAAAGUCCUCCCUCGCCCCCCUUCUCCACCUAUCGGAGUCCGCCUGGCUCAGCUCCACCUGUCCCCUCCAUGAAACUACCUCCAGGAUUUCCCUGCCCUUAGCGUCAUCCUCUAGCUCCAGUUUAUGGCCCCCGUAGAACCACGCGCACAUGUCAGCUCUGCAUCUGCCUUGCCCAGCAUCGAGGUGCUUCUCAGGAGAGCGGGCGGCUCCUGGGCCCUGGCCUGGGCUGGCUGCUGCUGCAAGAUGCCAAGUGAGAUGGCACAAGUUGCCCCGCGCAGCCAAAAUUCAUGACCUCGUGUUUUCCAGUAACUUCCGCCACUUCCAUCGAUUCAAGCUUCAGCUGCAACAAAAGUGGACCAAGCCAGGCUGUCUUUGUUAACUGUGUGCAGACAGAGCGGGCUGGCGGCCGGUGUGGGUGGUGUGGCCUCAGUGUCCGCCCUGUGCCCGGGGAAGCGUGCCGCCGGUCCCCAGCACCUGUGAAGCACCCUGGAGCGCCUGGGAGGCCUCUCUGUGUUCCUAAUUUCAUCCUAAACCACCUCAUUGGCUUUAAGGGACAAACUGCCUGAUCCCUUGGAGCUUCUGAGUUUUAUGAGUUCAAAGAUUUUUUUUUCAUGUCUGUAGGUAGGUAGGAGAGAAGGGAAUUUGAGUAUGGGGUGUCGGGCUGUUCUAUUUCCCGGUACCCUCCUCCCCCCAUACACAAUGCAAAUGGCCUGUUCCUUAAGAGUAUAUUCCGUUGCUUUAUUUUUAGUGAGGGGUUGUGAGCUGCUUUCUAGUUUCUUACGUUUUGGAAAGAAUGAAGGACAGGUCGAGGGGACAAAUAUGCGAGAGUGAUGGGUAGGUUUCAAGAAUGUUUACCCAAUGCAGGUAAGAGUCAUUUGUCACUAAAAGGCUCCCCGUCCCCAUCCCUGGGUCAUCCUGCAGAAGGUCAAGUGGCCUCACGCACAGGGCCCAUUCCCCGCAUUCCUGCGGCGGGGGCUUGGCGGCAGGCGAGGCCACUGCUGUCGGGGCUGUCAGGGGCUGUCGGGGGAUUAGGACGGGGUCCCCGAUGCAGGGAUCACUCACCCAGCCCCCACUCUUCCCCACCACAGCUGGGAAGCAGAGGCUUGGGGUUUUAUCUGUUCCAGACAGACCUUUAGAAAAAGAAAGCAGCGGCCGGUAGCUUGAAGUCCAGCCAUUUGGUGACCUCCAAAGACACUCACACCACGAGUCCAGGUUCCUUGCACACAGGCCACACAGCCUGCUGAGUGCCAGCCUUGGCCCAGAGACUCAUCGGCUCGGCGAUCAUGGACAGAAACAUGAGACGGACCCUCAGGGCUCAUGUGUUCAGAAUCCCUCCUGUACAUGUGAGGAAGCUGAUGGCUGCUCUCGGGGAUGCUGUACCUCCCGGCCAGCCUUCCAGGCACCUGUGGGGCAUCAGAAGAGAAGGCCCCGUGAGCCCCCGGCCUGGGAAUCUGCUCGUCUGGAGCGACGUCAGGUGGCAAAGGAGUGAGACACCGUCCCUGUGGGAAAUGGUCCUGUACAGCCCCUCCAAGCAAAGUCUGCUGCAGGCAGGAGUGAUCUUACAGCCUUCCUGUCCCGGGAGGGGACGCUGCCUUCCCCCAGCACAGCCUGCCAUCUCCUGCGGCAGCGCCCCAGUGUCUCAGGUAAGAGCCACCCUCGUUGCCAUUGUUCUGUGGUGACAGCCUCCAGGGCAAAUGGAAAGCUGUCAACCUGAGGGCUGUCAACUGCACACAAGAAUUCCUUUCUUUGUCAGGCUGGGUGGUCUCGCUGGCUUGGGCAUCGACCUGCACAAAAGAGAAGUGUGGUGUGCACUUGCAGGAAGCGCGCCCCCGCCCAGCAGCCCUAACCGCACUGCUUUGUGUGGCCAGGAUUAGCCCGUGCAUGGCUUCCCUUGACUGUGCAGAAGUCAUCAAGUCCCAGCCCAGGAGGGGCAUCCAGAGGUCGUUUGCUCCUUGCCCCCCCCAUCCCAACCCCCACUCCCAGCAUGCUGCCAUCCUGUGGCAUGGCAUGCUGUGGCAUCUGCCUGUUGCGAUUCUUAGCCAUAGACACAAGGAAGGUCCCUUACAGAUCUCCUAGUCCAGCCCUCUUGGGCUACAAGAGGGGGUCAGACACAGGUGGUGACUUGUCGCACGUCACACGGCGCAAGACUUGGGCACAGACGAGACCCGCAUUCUGUGAGCCUUCCUGCUAACUCCAGGCUGCUCCGGUUCAGAAAUGACCCCGCCCCACAGUACUGUGGGAAGUACGGUCGCUACCUUUCCAAUAAAAGGAGUCUCUGUGUGUGUAUACAUACGUGUGUGUGUGUGUGUGCAUCUAUGUGUACAUAUGUGUAUUCCCCUGUGUGUAGAUACAUGCACACACGCAUGUGUGUAUAUGUAUGUGUGUGCCUGAAUGUGUGCAUGCAUUUGUACAUGUGUGUGUACGUCUCUGUGUAUGUCUGUGUGUGUGUUUAAACAUACACACUUGGUGGCUCUCCGACGGCCAGUGGAUAAAGGCUUUCUUGUGUUUGCAGCCAGGGACACCUGAGACCUGGGUUGUUUGCCUGUGUUGUUUGUAGAAUGGUUUGGUGCCCUCUGCUGUUUGUCAGUAACAAUCCUUAGGCUUCCCAGACACCUGCUGUGUGGGACGGUCAACACACUCCAAGUUUGAAUGCAGGGUAGGCAGUUUUAUCCCCACCCUAAAGACAAGAAACCUGAGGCUCUGAAGCAUUUAAUAAUCUGCCCAAAUUGAUCAAGCCUGGAUUUGAACCCAGCCCAGUGGGGUUGUGGUUUCCUUCUUCUGUUCUGUGUCGAUAUACUCAUCACAAUCCUUCAGUCUUUUUUUUUUUAAGUCCAAAAGGCACAGAAACCGUUAUCUCUUCUGUUGAGGAACAGUGUUUUUUUCUUCUUACUGUUUGUUGAACUCUAUUUAGUGUAGGGUUAAUCUUAUGAGUACAAAGUAAACUGAAAGUAGAUCAUUGUAAAAAUAAAAGUGGCGAUAGGAGAGGAAGGAGGAGGAAGGGUGGGAAGAAUCACUAUGUCCCUAAUUCUGUGUGUGGGGAGCAACUGCGACUAGACUAAGUUACUGGAAUUAAGAUUUAUUCUAUGCAUCUGCUCUCCCACAAUGUGGCGCGGAGAGAGGACCAAACAACUUCUACGCAGCUGCCUCUCGCCAGUUUGACUGAUGAGCUGCAGGAGCUGAUCCUGCUCCUGAUUGGAGGAGAGCAGCGUGCUCGGCGUGUGGGUAGCAGAGUUGGGAUUGGUGGAAGAGGACUAUAAAGGAGGAGAGAGACAACAUGCACCAGGAACACCUGAGGAACAUCUGAGCAGCCCCCGAGAGAGCCGGCCGGCGGUGUGCCGCUCCUUCGCGGAAGUGGGGAAAGCAGCGGGGGGUGCUGCCCCUCCAGCAGCUAACCUGGGAUGGCGUCGUCCUUCCACGAGUGAGCGAAUGAGCAGCAGCUAACCCGGGAAGGGCCGGGCAAAAGAACAGCGCCGGGUCCUGUGUCGUUCCUCUGUGAAUGGGGGAGC